This 450-nucleotide ribosomal RNA is filed under the name uncultured bacterium. RNAcentral's name for it is "partial 16S ribosomal RNA". It matches the Rfam family "Bacterial small subunit ribosomal RNA", at positions 354 to 796 of the family's 1533-position model. The record is from RNAcentral.
GUGGGGAAUAUUGGACAAUGGGCGCAAGCCUGAUCCAGCCAUACCGCGUGGGUGAAGAAGGCCUUCGGGUUGUAAAGCCCUUUUGUUGGGAAAGAAAUCCUGUCGGUUAAUACCUGGCGGGGAUGACGGUACCCAAAGAAUAAGCACCGGCUAACUUCGUGCCAGCAGCCGCGGUAAUACGCAGGGUGCAAGCGUUACUCGGAAUUACUGGGCGUAAAGCGUGCGUAGGUGGUGGUUUAAGUCCGUUGUGAAAGCCCUGGGCUCAACCUGUGAAUUGCAGUGGAUACUGGAUCACUAGAGUGUGGUAGAGCGAUGCGGAAUUUCUGGUGUAGCAGUGAAAUGCGUAGAGAUCAGAAGGAACAUCCGUGGCGAAGGCGACAUCCUGGGCCAACACUGACACUGAGGCACGAAAGCGUGGGGAGCAAACAGGAUUAGAUACCCGGGUAGUCC